RNAcentral lists this ribosomal RNA (216 nucleotides) under uncultured bacterium. Its description in RNAcentral is "partial 16S ribosomal RNA". It matches the Rfam family "Bacterial small subunit ribosomal RNA", at positions 589 to 793 of the family's 1533-position model. The record is from RNAcentral.
CAGAUGUGAAAGACCCGGGGCGUCAACCUCCGGAAUAGCAUUUGUAAACUAGGCAGACUAGAGUACUGUAGAGGGGGGUAGGAAGUUUCUAGGUGUAGCGGUGAAAUAGCGUAGAGAUCUGAAGGAAUACCGGUGGCGAAGGCGGCCCCCUCGGACAGAUACUGACACUCAGAUGCGAAAGCGUGGGGAGCAAACAGGAUUAGAUACCCCUGGUAG